GACGAACGCUGGCGGCGUGCUUAACACAUGCAAGUCGAACGAUGACGCCCGAGCUUGCUCGGUCUGAUUAGUGGCGAACGGGUGAGUAACACGUGAGCAACCUGCCCUUCACUCUGGGAUAACCUCGGGAAAUCGGGGCUAAUACCGGAUAUGAGCUCCUGUCGCAUGGCGGGUGUUGGAAAGUUUUUCGGUGAAGGAUGGGCUCGCGGCCUAUCAGUUUGUUGGUGAGGUAGUGGCUCACCAAGGCGAUACGGGUAGCCGGCCUGAGAGGGCGACCGGCCACACUGGGACUGAGACACGGCCCAGACUCCUACGGGAGGCAGCAGUGGGGAAUAUUGCACAAUGGGCGAAAGCCUGAUGCAGCGACGCCGCGUGAGGGAUGACGGCCUUCGGGUUGUAAACCUCUUUCAGCAGGGAAGAAGCGAAAGUGACGGUACCUGCAGAAGAAGCGCCGGCUAACUACGUG
RNAcentral lists this ribosomal RNA (466 nucleotides) under uncultured bacterium. RNAcentral's name for it is "partial 16S ribosomal RNA". It matches the Rfam family "Bacterial small subunit ribosomal RNA", at positions 28 to 507 of the family's 1533-position model. The record is from RNAcentral.